Molecule: ribosomal RNA, 1370 nt
Filed under: uncultured bacterium
Lineage: Bacteria
Description: bacterial SSU rRNA
Rfam family: Bacterial small subunit ribosomal RNA
Source: RNAcentral
AGAGUUUGAUCCUGGCUCAGAACGAACGCUGGCGGCGUGGAUAAGACAUGCAAGUCGAACGAGAGAAUUGCUAGCUUGCUAAUAAUUCUCUAGUGGCGCACGGGUGAGUAACACGUGAGUAACCUGCCCCCGAGAGCGGGAUAGCCCUGGGAAACUGGGAUUAAUACCGCAUAGUAUCGAAAGAUUAAAGCAGCAAUGCGCUUGGGGAUGGGCUCGCGGCCUAUUAGUUAGUUGGUGAGGUAACGGCUCACCAAGGCGAUGACGGGUAGCCGGUCUGAGAGGAUGUCCGGCCACACUGGAACUGAGACACGGUCCAGACACCUACGGGUGGCAGCAGUCGAGAAUCAUUCACAAUGGGGGAAACCCUGAUGGUGUGACGCCGCGUGGGGGAAUGAAGGUCUUCGGAUUGUAAACCCCUGUCAUGUGGGAGCAAAUUAAAAAGAUAGUACCACAAGAGGAAGAGACGGCUAACUCUGUGCCAGCAGCCGCGGUAAUACAGAGGUCUCAAGCGUUGUUCGGAAUCACUGGGCGUAAAGCGUGCGUAGGCUGUUUCGUAAGUCGUGUGUGAAAGGCGCGGGCUCAACCCGCGGACGGCACAUGAUACUGCGAGACUAGAGUAAUGGAGGGGGAACCGGAAUUCUCGGUGUAGCAGUGAAAUGCGUAGAUAUCGAGAGGAACACUCGUGGCGAAGGCGGGUUCCUGGACAUUAACUGACGCUGAGGCACGAAGGCCAGGGGAGCGAAAGGGAUUAGAUACCCCUGUAGUCCUGGCAGUAAACGGUGCACGCUUGGUGUGCGGGGAAUCGACCCCCUGCGUGCCGGAGCUAACGCGUUAAGCGUGCCGCCUGGGGAGUACGGUCGCAAGAUUAAAACUCAAAGAAAUUGACGGGGACCCGCACAAGCGGUGGAGUAUGUGGCUUAAUUCGAUGCAACGCGAAGAACCUUACCUGGGCUUGACAUGUAAUGAACAACAUGUGAAAGCAUGCGACUCUUCGGAGGCGUUACACAGGUGCUGCAUGGCCGUCGUCAGCUCGUGUCGUGAGAUGUCUGGUUAAGUCCAGCAACGAGCGCAACCCCUGUUGCCAGUUACCAGCACGUGAAGGUGGGGACUCUGGCGAGACUGCCCAGAUCAACUGGGAGGAAGGUGGGGACGACGUCAGGUCAGUAUGGCCCUUAUGCCCAGGGCUGCACACGUACUACAAUGCCCAGUACAGAGGGGGCCGAAGCCGCGAGGCGGAGGAAAUCCUGAAAACUGGGCCCAGUUCGGACUGUAGGCUGCAACCCGCCUACACGAAGCCGGAAUCGCUAGUAAUGGCGCAUCAGCUACGGCGCCGUGAAUACGUUCCCGGGUCUUGCACUAACCGCCCGUCA